Molecule: long non-coding RNA, 2050 nt
Organism: Mauremys reevesii (Reeves's turtle)
Lineage: Eukaryota; Metazoa; Chordata; Testudines; Geoemydidae
Exons: 4
Source: RefSeq, a predicted model, not a curated record
UGAGACCUCUGCUUAAAUUCAUGGCUCCAGCUGUCAAAAGCAAAGAAAAGCAGCUUUUCCUUGGCGGCUCUCUGCUUUGGGUAGAGUUUGACAUCUUCCUCAGUCAGCAGAAUUUAAUCAGCAUCGAGUACCCACAGCCUCUCAGCUUCUCCACAACUCAGCUGUGGGGGGAGGGAAGGGGAAUCUUGCUAAUAGAAAAAGGGGAUCGUCCAAGCACAAUAUGUAUAAACAGACACAGACAGGAACAUGAUCUAAAGCACGUUGCUGUCUAGAGAUAGUCCCAUUAUGCCCUUUGAUUUAAGAAUUGCUGCUACCAUUAGCUACAAGGGAACACUCCCACUUGCUUAUGGAGGAAAUUCUUUCCUUGCUAAGGUUUUGCCAUGGCUCCAUUACUUACUCUCAGCUUCUCAUGAAACACAGCUGUAAUUUGCAGUUGACAAUGAUACUGAUUGCAAAAGAAAGCUGAUGAAAUGUGCACAGGGAUAUGGUUCCCCAUAUAUAGAUGAACAAGUGAACCAACUUCAGCAAUCAGUAACACCUUGUUUGUAGUCUACCUAAAUAUUAGCUGGAAAGAUGCCCCUCUCCCAUUAAUUCUCACUUAUAUCUCAGUGAAUCAAAUAAUCCAGCCCAGUGUACAGAGUUAUGAACAACUGGAAAACAUUCACAUUGCACCUCAAGCCCACAGAGCUUUGGGCCUAACAGUAGAUGGAUUAUAAACUGCAGCCUGUACUCAAAACAGCUUGGUGCAUAUAAGCUAAGGUUGCUCACUGGGGCAAAAGCUCUCAAGACUUCUUUCUCACAUCUAGCCUUGAUUCUCCCUCCCCACAAGCAAGCCCAAAAAUCCCACAAAGAGAACUAAGGAAUAUUAUGUGCACCCCAAUUUACCUGUUUGAUAUCAUCCUGCCCGACUGCAUGUGGUUAAAGCAAAGAUGGCUGUUAGAGGGAAACAAAUAAAUAGUGAUAAAGGAAUUCGAAGAAUACUGCUCCUCUUCCAGGACUCUGCAUGUUUUUGAAUUGCCUGUUUUGCCAUAAAGUGUAUGUGUAGACACCAUGCUAAGUCAAAGUGAAAGUGGUUCAGUUGUGCUUACCAUGUGAAAAAUUGAUUGAGGUGCCCUUAUAGAAGAGAAGGGAAAGAGAGGAGGGGAGAGACAGAAGAAAGCAGGAGGAAAACAAAAGAGAACAAUAAAGGGAGAACAUGACAAUAUCUUUCUUGCCAGAAACAGCACCCUGUGUCAGUAGAGAAGAGGUUUUGCACCUAAAAAUCUAAUUCAGGCCUCAGGUUGGGAUAUGAGCAAUAAGGUAGCCCAAAGUCCUUGACCAAAUGUGGAGGGGAAAAAAAGAGGACAUAAAGGCAGAUGAGAUGGAAAGGUUCCUAUUUCUUAAAUCUACCAUGGGACAACUCUGCCAUGUUUCAUCCGUGUGUGGGAUGUAAGAACCUUCAGCAAAUUUAGCGUCUUCCACUGGAACAAUUUUUUCCUCUCUUUAUCACCUCGUCAUUCAGGCAGCUGCAGUGGUACCGUAGUUCCAGUGUCGACCGCUACUGGGCUUUGCUGAUGGAGGCUUUCUCAUCAAAGGCUUAAAGCUGACUACAACAUUCUGACCAAAUAACAUACCUCCCAACAUUUCAAGUUGGUUAAAGCCAGAGAAGUCUUACCUCUGCUGCAUGGGAGGCCCGGCCAGUGAGAGGGUGAGGUGCUACCCCUGGAGUGUGGGAAGCUCUGGGUGGUAUAUUGUGAUCAGUAGAACUAGAGCCAGAAGGCCCAUGCUUUCUGGAGGGACUGUUAUUGACAGGACGCCAGUGGAAACCGGGAAUGUCUGGAAGCAACUCAGCUGCCUCGACAGGAGAGUGGUCAGGAUUUGAUAAAGUGCCACUUGUUCAGCUUAUCCUGCAUUCAGGCUCUCACAAACAUGGUGGCAGUGUUUAGUCUGCAGUGCAGCACCUGUCUGUGGAAACCAGGGAUCUCUAUAUGAAGCCCCCUGGAGCCCUGGAUUUUGCAGACACAAACCUAGCCCAGAGAUGCCUUCCAAGGAAGGAGGCGUUUGAGCUAUU